Long non-coding RNA from Gambusia affinis (western mosquitofish), 948 nucleotides. RefSeq lists it as uncharacterized. NCBI's taxonomy places the organism in Eukaryota, Metazoa, Chordata, Actinopteri, Cyprinodontiformes, Poeciliidae. The transcript is spliced from 3 exons. The record is from RefSeq and is a predicted model, not a curated record.
UUUUCUUUUGGCUAGCUUUUCCAAGUAGUUAAACAGAACAAUCACGGGUUUAAUUUCAUGACAGUAUAGGUAAACAAUGAAAAGUGGAGAACCGACCCUCCCUCUUUUAACCGACAAAGUCUAAUUUACCUUCUAUGUUUAACUGCUUUUUUUGAGAGACAUUUUUACUUUAAAACUCAGAGCUGGUUUUCUGCUCGGUGAAGCUCACAUCAUUAGCAGCGGAUGUGACACCUGUUGACAAUAAAGCAGCACUACAACUCAUCAGCUUCACAUUCUGCUUUGGGAAGGACUUUUAUUUACAAGAACUGGUCAGCAAUGUUGUUGGAACAGCUUGAUCAGCCACGCCAGGCUGACACGGGAGGGACGGCCCGCCGCGUCGGGAAACACCCCAACGUGGAGGAAGGCCAGCCAGGUGCAGGACGGACGGAUGGAGGGCUGGGCAGUUCAAAGUGAGCCGCAUUAAUGCAGGUUUGAAACGUUUAAAGAUCAGCAGCAGCCCCGCCGCAUCGGCCCGAUGAUGUAAUCAUUUCCCAGCCGCACCUGGGAGCCGCGGUCGCCAUCCUGAGGCAUCGCUCACAGCCAAAUAUGCAGAUGUUUCUAAUUGCUUUCCAUUACCAACAAUAACAGCUGUUUAUAUCUAUCAGCAAAUAAUUCACAAGAGUUCCAGACUGUUAGGAUAACAUAUCCCACCUGGUCACCAUCACCAGUUGUCAGCAGCAGAGAGCAGCUCCCUGCCAGGCUGCUCGUUCACAAAUCCCCCGAUGAGCUCGGGCUUCCAGUCACCUUCGGCUCUAACGUCAGGCUUUACACAUGCAGGGAAUGUUUUACUCGAACAUGAUGUGGUUUAGUAUGUUUCUGAUUUAGAAUAAAAUAGAAAUAUCCUUUAUUGCCCAAAAAUGAGAGGAAAAUCUGGUGUAAUAAAGUGGCAGGAAUCGAAGCAUGUGGAAU